CUGCUGUCAUUGAAAGCAGACGGAAUUUGGGGUGAUUUGUUUAUGUUUUUGCGUCCUCUGCGGAUUUUAUUUAGAGGGUGAUUUAAGUUUACACUCAGGCCUUUGACUUUAUAGAGUAUUCGUAUUCUGCAAUUCUUCGAAAUCUGCUGAGACGAUAAUGUCUGCUCACAAUAUUUCUGAUCCUGAAUUGGAUAUUAAAGUCAAAAAAGCAACGGAGAGAAUAUCAGAAAAUAUGCACAUUGUUGCCAAUGAGCCUUCCUUGGCGUUUUAUCGCCUCCAAGAACAUGUUAGGAAAGCGUUACCACCAAUGGUCGAAAAACGAGUGGAAGUCACAAAGCUUCAUCAUGAACUGCAAGGCCGAUGCUACGAUGUCGAAUAUGGCGUUGGGGCUAUAAAAUCUAUGGAAGGUGCUGAGGAAAGUUUUGACAACAUACAGGAAUUGUUAAAAAAUGCAGUUUUUCUCAAGCAGCAAAUAAAAUAUGAAGAAGCCAGAAGAAACAAAAAAGAGCCCUCAUCUGUAUACAAACGCUUAUCGGCACACAUUACUCUUGACCUGCCUGAUCUGCCAGAAAUUUCUGAUGCUUUGCGUGAAACAGCCAACCGUGUGGAAUCCAUGAUGGCUCAUGCCAGGCAUUCAGCUGGUGCAGAGCUGCAGAGGUCUCACACGGUUCACCACUGAUGACAACCGCACACAGUGUGAGCUGACUGUUUGUUCUGAAGUAUCAUCUUCUUUAUUGGAAGUCAGACUGUCAAAACACCCAGAUGAAAAUCAUGUGAGGAGCCUUGCUUAUCAGUAACACCUCAACAUUGCUCAUUGCUUCGACAGUAUGACACAAUAUUUUUCAAAUUUAUUUUGCUGGUGGAAAAGGAGAAAACCACCUCGCCACCUCGCAGAACAAAUAGAUUAUUGAACACAGACUGUGUGCCUGGGAGCACCAGAGGAAGAGACUGAGAACAGGUGUUACAAUAAAUGGACUGAGAUCUUCUCAAGCAGUGAGACAAGUGUUUAGCACUAAAGAUAGUAUAUAUUUUAUAAUUUUAUGUAAUUUAUUAUUUGUUUUUCAAAUAAUAUGGAAAUGGACAUAAAAAAUAGAUGAUUUCCAAUUUGAAUCUUUUUACUAAGCUAUGCUUUGCACAUGUACUCAUAGUUUUUACACAAUAAUUUGAUCUGAUACACUCACAUUUACACUUUAUGUUCAUGGAACUAUGUCAUCAACUUUGUGUUGUGCUGUAUUGUAACUUGUGGUGAAUUAUUUGUUUAUACAGUGUUUCUGGCAACUGACUGAAGUCUAAUUUUAGCAGAGUAUGUUAUCUAAUUCUCAUCUACAGUACUCUGGGUGGUUCUUAUAACGUAAAAUAUAUGAUUGCUAAGAUAAGUAUGAAAUGAAGUGUAGACCUCAAGCCAGGCUGCCAUGUUUACAGACUUAAUGUAUACAAAUUUUGUAACAUUAUUAUUUCAUUUAUGUGGUUAUUUGAAAACUCAACAAAUUAUAUUGCUUCUAUUUUGUCUUCAAUUUCAUUUAAAUUUUAUUGUGUGCAAAAAGAUCUCUGUUCUAGUUUGACUGCUACUGAUUAAUACUUAAACAUAAAUAAUAAACAAUCCUCAUUUUGUAGUUCUAGAAUACUUUUUAAAAGAAGUGAAACUAGGUUUUUGUGUGCAUUUAUGUAAAGAACUUGUGUACAUGUUAGAAACAUUUUCCAGCCAAUAACUUAUA
Molecule: RNA transcript, 1715 nt
Organism: Schistocerca cancellata (South American locust)
Lineage: Eukaryota; Metazoa; Arthropoda; Insecta; Orthoptera; Acrididae
Gene name: BLOC-1-related complex subunit 8 homolog
Exons: 6
Source: RefSeq, a predicted model, not a curated record